AACGCAGAUCAGAGGUAGUCGGACCUUUCCCGCUGGCGCGCAGCCUCAGCUAGGGCACACAGAGUGAACAGAAAAAGAGGAUACCUCUGCGAUCCCGGGUCAUCUCCAGAUGCUAGGGUUAUGGGUGAGAGGCGUCUUCCCAAGACCAGACACUGCCGGUGCCCUAUCACCUCCCACUUUUUUUCUGGAACUGCUAGGGGCCCAGCGCUGCUUCUGCAGCCUUCCAGGGGAUGCUGCUGGUGGCGCGUAUGCCGCCUAGGUGGGUGGGGAUGUGCUGAGGCCGAAGGAGUGACAGCGACUCGCAGGUUU
This 309-nucleotide small RNA is filed under the name Homo sapiens (human). RNAcentral describes it as "DANT2 long non-coding RNA". The record is from RNAcentral. Lineage: Eukaryota; Metazoa; Chordata; Mammalia; Primates; Hominidae.